This 388-nucleotide ribosomal RNA is filed under the name uncultured bacterium. RNAcentral's name for it is "bacterial SSU rRNA". It matches the Rfam family "Bacterial small subunit ribosomal RNA", at positions 28 to 417 of the family's 1533-position model. The record is from RNAcentral.
GACGAACGCUGGCGGCGUGCUUAACACAUGCAAGCCGAGCGGUAAGGCCCUUUCGGGGGUACACGAGCGGCGAACGGGUGAGUAACACGUGGGUGACCUGCCCUCAGCUCUGGGAUAAGCCUGGGAAACCGGGUCUAAUACUGGAUAUGACUCCAUGACGCAUGUUGUGGGGUGGAAAGCCUUGUGCGGCUGAGGAUGGGCCCGCGGCCUAUCAGCUUGUUGGUGGGGUGANGGCCUACCAAGGCGACGACGGGUAGCCGGCCUGAGAGGGCGACCGGCCACACUGGGACUGAGACACGGCCCAGACUCCUACGGGAGGCAGCAGUGGGGAAUCUUGCGCAAUGGGCGAAAGCCUGACGCAGCGACGCCGCGUGAGGGAUGACGGCCU